This 341-nucleotide unclassified non-coding RNA is filed under the name soil metagenome. Its description in RNAcentral is "partial contains 5.8S ribosomal RNA, internal transcribed spacer 2, and large subunit ribosomal RNA". The stretch from base 1 to 120 matches the Rfam family "5.8S ribosomal RNA", at positions 35 to 154 of the family's 154-position model. The record is from RNAcentral.
GAUGAAGAACGCAGCGAAAUGCGAUAAGUAGUGUGAAUUGCAGAAUUCAGUGAAUCAUCGAAUCUUUGAACGCACAUUGCGCCCUUUGGUAUUCCAAAGGGCAUGCCUGUUCGAGCGUCAUUUGUACCCUCAAGCUUUGCUUGGUGUUGGGCGUCUUGUCUCUAGCUUUGCUGGAGACACGCCUUAAAGUAAUUGGCAGCCGGCCUACUGGUUUCGGAGCGCAGCACAAGUCGCACUCUCUAUCAGCAAAGGUCUAGCAUCCAUUAAGCCUUUUUUUCAACUUUUGACCUCGGAUCAGGUAGGGAUACCCGCUGAACUUAAGCAUAUCAAUAAGCGGAAGA